Molecule: non-coding RNA, 31 nt
Filed under: Homo sapiens (human)
Lineage: Eukaryota; Metazoa; Chordata; Mammalia; Primates; Hominidae
Source: RNAcentral
UGGAACUCUAGCCACAGACCAUGCCCUUUUC